ACACAUGCAAGUCGAACGAGAAAGUGGAGCAAUCCAUGAGUAAAGUGGCGACCGGGUGAGUAACACGUGACUAACCUACCUCCGAGUGGGGAAUAACUCCGGGAAACCGGGGCUAAUACCGCAUAACAUCGCAAGAUCAAAGCAGCAAUGCGCUUGGAGAGGGGGUCGCGGCUGAUUAGCUCGUUGGCGGGGUAACGGCCCACCAAGGCGAAGAUCGGUAUCCGGCCUGAGAGGGCGCACGGACACACUGGAACUGAAACACGGUCCAGACUCCUACGGGAGGCAGCAGUGGGGAAUUUUGCGCAAUGGGGGAAACCCUGACGCAGCAACGCCGCGUGGAGGAUGAAGCCCUUUGGGGCGUAAACUCCUUUCGACUCGGACGAUAAUGACGGUACGAGUGGAAGAAGCACCGGCUAACUCUGUGCCAGCAGCCGCGGUAAUACAGAGGGUGCGAGCGUNGUUCGGAAUUAUUGGGCGUAAAGGGCGCG
This 488-nucleotide ribosomal RNA is filed under the name uncultured bacterium. Its description in RNAcentral is "bacterial SSU rRNA". It matches the Rfam family "Bacterial small subunit ribosomal RNA", at positions 51 to 571 of the family's 1533-position model. The record is from RNAcentral.